AUACGGAGGAUGCAAGCGUUAUCCGGAUUUAUUGGGUUUAAAGGGUGCGCAGGCGGCGCGUUAAGUCAGUGGUGAAAUGUCCCGGCUCAACCGGGGAACUGCCGCUGAUACUGACGUGCUCGAGUACGGACGGCGCCGGCGGAAUGUGUCAUGUAGCGGUGAAAUGCUUAGAUAUGCCACAGAACACCGAUCGCGAAGGCAGCUGGCGAGGCCGGUACUGACGCUCAGGCACGAAAGCGUGGGGAUCAAACAGGAUUAGAUACCCUGGUAGUCCACGCAGUAAACGAUGAGGACUUGUUGUCGGCGAUAGAGUGUCGGUGACAAAGCGAAAGCGAUAAGUCCUCCACCUGGGGAGUACGAUCGCAAGGUUGAAACUCAAAGGAAUUGGCGGGG
Molecule: ribosomal RNA, 393 nt
Filed under: uncultured bacterium
Lineage: Bacteria
Description: partial 16S ribosomal RNA
Rfam family: Bacterial small subunit ribosomal RNA
Source: RNAcentral